AUUGAACGCUGGCGGCAGGCCUCAAACAUGCAAGUCUAGGGGAUGUAGCAAUACAGUCACCGGCGGACGGGUGCGUAACGCGUGGGAAUGUACCUAUUGGUUCGGAACAACACAGGGAAACUUGUGCUAAUACCGAAUGUGCCCGUAAGGGAAAGAUUUAUCGCCAAUAGAUCAGCCCGCGUUCGAUUAGCUAGUUGGUGAGGUAAUGGCCCACCAAGGCAACGAUGGGGUAGCNGGUCUGAGAGGACGAUCAGCCACACUGGGACUGGAGACACGGCCCAGACUCCUACGGGAGGCAGCAGUGGGAAUCUUGCGCAAUGCGCGAAAGCGUGACGCAGC
RNAcentral lists this ribosomal RNA (339 nucleotides) under uncultured bacterium. RNAcentral describes it as "bacterial SSU rRNA". It matches the Rfam family "Bacterial small subunit ribosomal RNA", at positions 30 to 392 of the family's 1533-position model. The record is from RNAcentral.